This 1172-nucleotide long non-coding RNA is filed under the name Bos indicus x Bos taurus (hybrid cattle). RNAcentral's name for it is "lncRNA (ENSBIXG00000004289.1)". The record is from RNAcentral. Lineage: Eukaryota; Metazoa; Chordata; Mammalia; Artiodactyla; Bovidae.
AAAAAUGGUCUCGGUAUUCUCAUGGGAAAAAGCAAGAGCAUUCUCAAGAGCCUCUGUAGACAGAGAAGGCGAGUUCCUGGCCAAGAAUAAAAAUGGGAAAGUCUGAAAUGUUGAGCGCUUCUGAUUAAACCUUCAGUGGUAUAUUUCUCUUAGACAAAGCAUUUGUCAUAAGUAGCUUGUCUGCCUGAGUAUGAUUUAUGCGGCUGAACUGCAAUUGGCUGAAUAAUUUAUGCUAUUUAUUGUUCCGCAAAGUUUCUUUUCUUAAUAAAUAAAUAAAUAAUGCUGGGCUAAGAGAAAGGGGAAAUAGUGGCAAGUGUCAGCAGUGUGAUGAGAGAAAAAAGUCUUUUUUUCCGUGUUGAAAGCUAAUACAGUGUAUCUAAGAGGAAUGGUCUCCACGCAGAAGGGCAAGACUCUAAUAGGUGAAUAUUGUCAGCGUUUUCAACGAAACCAAUUGGCUAAGAGAAGCUGUCAAAUCGGUGUGAAAUGAGCCGUGUAGACCUGCCCGUGAAAAACUUGCCUGAGGUCACUUGGCCUUCCCAAAGCAGUCAGGGAGAGAGCUGCUGAAUCUGGAAGGGCAGAGCUAACAGAGAACCAAAGGCAAUCAACAAAAGAGAAGUGAACUCGUCACAUCUCUGCUAUUCCCCCAGAAGUGUGUGCAGAAGUGAGAGACUCCCGGCCCAGGAAGAAAGAUCUAAAGCUGUGUCCAUAUCGCUAAACACGGCAUUUGAUUUCUUUCCCCAUCAGGGUCCACCUGAGUGGGAGGAGUUACUCUUUGAAGGCAACAAGCAUGGAGACUGGAAGUUAAUGAUUAGACCCACCUUCUUGCACAGAAGGAAACUAAAUCCGAUCAACCAGAGGAGCCCGAAGAAAAUGAAUAAGUGGCAGAAAACCUUAUAAAAAGAAAACAAAAAGUCUGCUGCAAAACCACAGCCCCUGUGACAAUCAGAGGGGGAAGACACAGGGUAAUCUCCCCCCUUAUUGAAAUAUUCAUUUGUCCUUUCUCUGCUGUUUUGGAAGCAUUGACAGCAGCUUUCACAAGCUUUCAGCUUCAAUUUAGAAAGUAGCUCUUCAAAGAGAAGGAUGAUCUUUAAUUUCUUCUUCACCUUUCUACAGCACUCUGCACACAGCUGGUGUUCAAUAAAUGUUUUGCGCACUCAAAUGUAAGAAGUAUG